GAAAUGCGAUAAGUAGUGUGAAUUGCAGAAUUCAGUGAAUCAUCGAAUCUUUGAACGCACAUUGCGCCCCUUGGUAUUCCAUGGGGCAUGCCUGUUCGAGCGUCAUUUGUACCCUCAAGCUCUGCUUGGUGUUGGAUGUUUGUCCCGUCUCCGCGCGUGGACUCGCCCCAAAGUGAUUGGCAGCCGGCGUACUGGUCCCGGAGCGCAGCACAUGUCGCGCAAACGAGUGCCUUGGUACGGCGGCGUCCAUAAGCCCCUCUCUCACGCUCUUGACCUCGGAUCAGGUAGGGAUACCCGCUGAACUUAAGC
Molecule: unclassified non-coding RNA, 309 nt
Filed under: plant metagenome
Description: partial contains 5.8S ribosomal RNA, internal transcribed spacer 2, and large subunit ribosomal RNA
Rfam family: 5.8S ribosomal RNA (bases 1-105)
Source: RNAcentral